GUUCUGCUGCUCCAGGUAGCGUACCUUCUCGAUGAAGCUGGCGAAGCGGUCAUUUAUGGUCUUGA
Molecule: long non-coding RNA, 65 nt
Organism: Xiphophorus hellerii (green swordtail)
Lineage: Eukaryota; Metazoa; Chordata; Actinopteri; Cyprinodontiformes; Poeciliidae
Exons: 3
Source: RefSeq, a predicted model, not a curated record